This is a long non-coding RNA of Xenia sp. Carnegie-2017, 877 nucleotides long. RefSeq lists it as uncharacterized. The transcript is spliced from 6 exons. The record is from RefSeq and is a predicted model, not a curated record. NCBI's taxonomy places the organism in Eukaryota, Metazoa, Cnidaria, Anthozoa, Malacalcyonacea, Xeniidae.
GGAUCGUUUCCUGUGCUAGAGCCCUACGAUCUAUCUAUCUAUUGAUUAUCUAUUGUCCUUUACCACCUAAUGUGUCAUUUUUCCUAUCUCUUAUAUUCAUUCGUUGUCAUUUUGCGUUCCAGCUUUGGUUGACUUUUCUGAUGAAGAAGGUUACGGCAAGUACUUGGAUCUUCACGAACCUUAUGAUAAAUAUAUGAACAUCAAGGGAAUCGAGAGAAUAGACUAUCUUGCGUAUUUGGAAACAUUCGACCGCUUGUUCGACAUUCCCAAAGAGAAGAAAACACACGAAUACAAAAGAUACAUCAUCGUUCUCCUUGAUUACCUUUACUACUAUUGUCAACGUGUCCAACCGCUGGUCGAUCUUGAUAAGGAAAUGGAGGAAACCCAAGAAGAAUUUGAUAGAAACUGGGCGCAAGGAUGAUUUCCAGGAUGGCCCAAAGAUACCGGAAGUGCUUUGGCGCAAUCUGGGGCACAUCUUGAUCUGUGUGGUUUCUCAUCUGCUGAGCUUUGGUUGACUUUUCUGAUGAAGAAGGUUACGGCAAGUACUUGGAUCUUCACGAACCUUAUGAUAAAUAUAUGAACAUCAAGGGAAUCGAGGUAAUUCAACUAGGUCGCAUGCGUUUAGUUAUGAAAUUCCCGCCGCUGUUUUAAACCAAUCAGUAAUCAAAAUGAAUAUUUACGAAAAGCAGCGUCAGCGAUAUGAAUGGAACAAUGAAAAAUGACAAAACCAUGGACAAAACUGACCAAAAUUUGAAAAUUUUGACAUUAAACAUUGACAAAAUAACAAAUCAUGACAACAUUAUUAUAUUUAAAAUAACUUUUUCUACAAUACAUAGAGCAAAAAAGAAAUAAUUACUGGAUCAAAAUUCUUUUUGGA